GUGGGGAAUUUUGGACAAUGGGCGCAAGCCUGAUCCAGCAAUGCCGCGUGCAGGAAGAAGGCCUUCGGGUUGUAAACUGCUUUUGUACGGAACGAAACGGUCCUGGUUAAUACCUGGGGCUAAUGACGGUACCGUAAGAAUAAGCACCGGCUAACUACGUGCCAGCAGCCGCGGUAAUACGUAGGGUGCGAGCGUUAAUCGGAAUUACUGGGCGUAAAGCGUGCGCAGGCGGUGCUGUAAGACAGGCGUGAAAUCCCCGGGCUCAAGCUGGGAAUUGCGCUUGUGACUGCAGUGCUGGAGUACGGCAGAGGGGGAUGAAAUUCCGCGUGUAGCAGUGAAAUGCGUAGAUAUGCGGAGGAACACCGAUGGCGAAGGCAGUCCCCUGGGCCUGUACUGACGCUCAUGCACGAAAGCGUGGGGAGCAAACAGGAUUAGAAACCCCGGUAGUCC
Molecule: ribosomal RNA, 450 nt
Filed under: uncultured bacterium
Lineage: Bacteria
Description: partial 16S ribosomal RNA
Rfam family: Bacterial small subunit ribosomal RNA
Source: RNAcentral